AUUGAACGCUGGCGGCAGGCCUAACACAUGCAAGUCGAGCGGAUGAAGGGAGCUUGCUCCUGGAUUCAGCGGCGGACGGGUGAGUAAUGCCUAGGAAUCUGCCUGGUAGUGGGGGAUAACGUCCGGAAACGGGCGCUAAUACCGCAUACGUCCUGAGGGAGAAGGUGGGGGAUCUUCGGACCUCACGCUAUCAGAUGAGCCUAGUUCGGAUUAGCUAGUUGGUGGGGUAAAGGCCUACCAAGGCGACGAUCCGUAACUGGUCUGAGAGGAUGAUCAGUCACACUGGAACUGAGACACGGUCCAGACUCCUACGGGAGGCAGCAGUGGGGAAUAUUGGACAAUGGGCGAAAGCCUGAUCCAGCCAUGCCGCGUGUGUGAAGAAGGUCUUCGGAUUGUAAAGCACUUUAAGUUGGGAGGAAGGGCAGUAAGUUAAUACCUUGCUGUUUUGACGUUACCAACAGAAUAAGCACCGGCUAACUUCGUG
RNAcentral lists this ribosomal RNA (484 nucleotides) under uncultured bacterium. RNAcentral's name for it is "partial 16S ribosomal RNA". It matches the Rfam family "Bacterial small subunit ribosomal RNA", at positions 30 to 507 of the family's 1533-position model. The record is from RNAcentral.